This 18-nucleotide unclassified non-coding RNA is filed under the name Mus musculus (house mouse). RNAcentral describes it as "oocyte_clustered_small_RNA7341". The record is from RNAcentral. Lineage: Eukaryota; Metazoa; Chordata; Mammalia; Rodentia; Muridae.
AGCUUGGUCUGUUGUGAG